GACGGAGGAUGCAAGCGUUAUCCGGAAUGAUUGGGCGUAAAGCGUCCGCAGGUGGCAGUUCAAGUCUGCUGUCAAAGACCGGGGCUUAACUUCGGAAAGGCAGUGGAAACUGAACAGCUAGAGUAUGGUAGGGGCAGAGGGAAUUCCUGGUGUAGCGGUGAAAUGCGUAGAUAUCAGGAAGAACAUCGGUGGCGAAGGCGCUCUGCUGGACCAUAACUGACACUCAGGGACGAAAGCUAGGGGAGCGAAAGGG
This 253-nucleotide ribosomal RNA is filed under the name uncultured bacterium. RNAcentral describes it as "partial 16S ribosomal RNA". It matches the Rfam family "Bacterial small subunit ribosomal RNA", at positions 524 to 776 of the family's 1533-position model. The record is from RNAcentral.